GAAAUUGUGGCUCAGAGGAAAUAGCUGUGUUGGUUAGAGCAUGGUGCUGAAAAUGCCACGGUUGCAGGUUUGAUCCCCGUAUGGGGCAGCU
This is a non-coding RNA of Podarcis lilfordi (Lilford's wall lizard), 91 nucleotides long. The record is from the annotation of a GenBank genome assembly. Lineage: Eukaryota; Metazoa; Chordata; Lepidosauria; Squamata; Lacertidae.